Molecule: ribosomal RNA, 845 nt
Filed under: Mycobacteroides abscessus
Lineage: Bacteria; Bacillati; Actinomycetota; Actinomycetes; Mycobacteriales; Mycobacteriaceae
Description: bacterial SSU rRNA
Rfam family: Bacterial small subunit ribosomal RNA
Source: RNAcentral
GUGAGUAACACGUGGGUGAUCUGCCCUGCACUCUGGGAUAAGCCUGGGAAACUGGGUCUAAUACCGGAUAGGACCACACACUUCAUGGUGAGUGGUGCAAAGCUUUUGCGGUGUGGGAUGAGCCCGCGGCCUAUCAGCUUGUUGGUGGGGUAAUGGCCCACCAAGGCGACGACGGGUAGCCGGCCUGAGAGGGUGACCGGCCACACUGGGACUGAGAUACGGCCCAGACUCCUACGGGAGGCAGCAGUGGGGAAUAUUGCACAAUGGGCGCAAGCCUGAUGCAGCGACGCCGCGUGAGGGAUGACGGCCUUCGGGUUGUAAACCUCUUUCAGUAGGGACGAAGCGAAAGUGACGGUACCUACAGAAGAAGGACCGGCCAACUACGUGCCAGCAGCCGCGGUAAUACGUAGGGUCCGAGCGUUGUCCGGAAUUACUGGGCGUAAAGAGCUCGUAGGUGGUUUGUCGCGUUGUUCGUGAAAACUCACAGCUUAACUGUGGGCGUGCGGGCGAUACGGGCAGACUAGAGUACUGCAGGGGAGACUGGAAUUCCUGGUGUAGCGGUGGAAUGCGCAGAUAUCAGGAGGAACACCGGUGGCGAAGGCGGGUCUCUGGGCAGUAACUGACGCUGAGGAGCGAAAGCGUGGGUAGCGAACAGGAUUAGAUACCCUGGUAGUCCACGCCGUAAACGGUGGGUACUAGGUGUGGGUUUCCUUCCUUGGGAUCCGUGCCGUAGCUAACGCAUUAAGUACCCCGCCUGGGGAGUACGGUCGCAAGACUAAAACUCAAAGGAAUUGACGGGGGCCCGCACAAGCGGCGGAGCAUGUGGAUUAAUUCGAUGCAACGCG